UGCAAGUCGAGCGGAUGACGAGGAGCUUGCUCCUCUGAUUUAGCGGCGGACGGGUGAGUAACACGUGGGCAACCUGCCUGUAAGACUGGGAUAACUUCGGGAAACCGGAGCUAAUACCGGAUAACUCAUGAGGCCACAUGGUCUUAUGAUAAAAGAUGGUUUCGGCUAUCACUUACAGAUGGGCCCGCGGCGCAUUAGCUAGUUGGUGAGGUAACGGCUCACCAAGGCGACGAUGCGUAGCCGACCUGAGAGGGUGAUCGGCCACACUGGGACUGAGACACGGCCCAGACUCCUACGGGAGGCAGCAGUAGGGAAUCUUCCGCAAUGGACGAAAGUCUGACGGAGCAACGCCGCGUGAGCGAUGAAGGCCUUCGGGUCGUAAAGCUCUGUUGUUAGGGAAGAACAAGUAUCAGUUAACUGCUGGUACCUUGACGGUACCUAACGAGAAAGCCACGGCUAACUACGUGCCAGCAGCCGCGGUAAUACGUAGGUGGCAAGCGUUGUCCGGAUUUAUUGGGCGUAAAGCGCGCGCAGGCGGUUCUUUAAGUCUGAUGUGAAAGCCCCCGGCUCAACCGGGGAGGGUCAUUGGAAACUGGGGAACUUGAGUGCAGAAGAGAAGAGCGGAAUUCCACGUGUAGCGGUGAAAUGCGUAGAGAUGUGGAGGUACACCAGUGGCGAAGGCGGCUCUUUGCUCUGUAUCUGACGCUGAGGCGCGAAAGUCAGGAGAGAAUACAGGCUUAGAUACUCUGCUAGUUCACCAGUAUUCUAUGAUGUUUAAGU
RNAcentral lists this ribosomal RNA (780 nucleotides) under uncultured bacterium. Its description in RNAcentral is "bacterial SSU rRNA". It matches the Rfam family "Bacterial small subunit ribosomal RNA", at positions 56 to 821 of the family's 1533-position model. The record is from RNAcentral.